CGCCAGUUGGAAGAUUUGGAUAACAGGGGGCGCCGCAGUUACAUCAGGAUUCGCGGCCUACCUAAAAUCCCCCAGAACGAACCCCUGGAAGCCACUCUGCAAGCCCUCUUCACUACCAUAAUGGACAACGACACGCUUGGUGAGGUCCAGCUAGACAGAGCACAUAGAGCACUCCGUGCCCCCGCGUACUGAAGAUGUCAUAUGCUGCAUCCACUCAUUC
Molecule: non-coding RNA, 220 nt
Organism: Pelobates cultripes (western spadefoot toad)
Lineage: Eukaryota; Metazoa; Chordata; Amphibia; Anura; Pelobatidae
Source: the annotation of a GenBank genome assembly